GUCCUAUUGUUUAAUAUUUUAGGUCUGACCUGCCCAUUGAAUUGAUUUAAAAGGCCGCGGUAUUUUGACCGUGCAAAGGUAGCAUAAUCAUUAGUUUUUUAAUUGAAAGCUGGUAUGAAGGGUUGCAUGAAAAAUUAGCUGUCUCAAUAUAAAUAAUUGAAUUUUAUUUUUAAGUUAAAAAGCUUAAAUUUUUUUAAAAGACGAGAAGACCCUAUAGAGUUUAAUAGAAAAGGAAUAAUUUAUUUUUUAGUAUUAAUAAAUUAAUUAUUUUUUUAUAUUUAAUUGGGGUGAUUAAAAAAUUUAAUAAACUUUUUUUAUUUUAAAACAAUAAUAUUUGAAUUAUUGAUCCAAAAUUUUUGAUUAUAAGAAUAAAUUACCUUAGGGAUAACAGCGUAAUUUUUUUUGAGAGUUCUUAUUGAUAAAAAAGAUUGCGACCUCGAUGUUGGAUUAAAAUUUAUUUUUGGUGUAGAAGCUAAAAAAUUGAGUCUGUUCGACUUUUAAAAUUUUACAUGAUCUGAGUUUAAACCGGUGUGAGCCAGGUUGGUUUCUAUCUUUAAAUAAAAUAAUAUAUUUUAGUACGAAAGGACCAUUUAUAUAAUUAAAAAUUUAAAUUAGAAUAAAAUUGUUAUUUUGGCAGAAUAGUGCGUUAGAUUUAGAAUCUAUUUAUGUAAAUUUUACAAAUAAUACUUGAUAGUUAAGGAUUUAUUAUUAAUUUUUAUUUCUGAUCUAUUAUUGAUUGUAUGUGUACUAAUUAGAGUUGCUUUUUUGACAUUGUUAGAGCGUAAAGUUUU
This 791-nucleotide ribosomal RNA is filed under the name Stilbus testaceus. RNAcentral's name for it is "partial 16S ribosomal RNA". The stretch from base 1 to 579 matches the Rfam family "Bacterial large subunit ribosomal RNA", at positions 1825 to 2925 of the family's 2925-position model. Lineage: Eukaryota; Metazoa; Arthropoda; Insecta; Coleoptera; Phalacridae. The record is from RNAcentral.